RNAcentral lists this ribosomal RNA (250 nucleotides) under uncultured Enterococcus sp. RNAcentral's name for it is "partial 16S ribosomal RNA". It matches the Rfam family "Bacterial small subunit ribosomal RNA", at positions 338 to 580 of the family's 1533-position model. The record is from RNAcentral. Lineage: Bacteria; Bacillati; Bacillota; Bacilli; Lactobacillales; Enterococcaceae.
CCUACGGGAUGCAGCAGUAGGGAAUCUUCGGCAAUGGACGAAAGUCUGACCGAGCAACGCCGCGUGAGUGAAGAAGGUUUUCGGAUCGUAAAACUCUGUUGUUAGAGAAGAACAAGGAUGAGAGUAACUGUUCAUCCCUUGACGGUAUCUAACCAGAAAGCCACGGCUAACUACGUGCCAGCAGCCGCGGUAAUACGUAGGUGGCAAGCGUUGUCCGGAUUUAUUGGGCGUAAAGCGAGCGCAGGCGGUU